GAUGAACGCUGGCGGCGUGCCUAAUACAUGCAAGUCGAGCGAACGGACGAGAAGCUUGCUUCUCUGAUGUUAGCGGCGGACGGGAGAGUAACACGUGGAUAACCUACCUAUAAGACUGGGAUAACUUCGGGAAACCGGAGCUAAUACCGGAUAAUAUUUUGAACCGCAUGGUUCAAAAGUGAAAGACGGUCUUGCUGUCACUUAUAGAUGGAUCCGCGCUGCAUUAGCUAGUUGGUAAGGUAACGGCUUACCAAGGCAACGAUGCAUAGCCGACCUGAGAGAGUGAUCGGCCACACUGGAACUGGGACACGGUCCAGACUACUAAGGGAGGCAGCAGUAGGGAAUCUGCCGCAAUGGGCGAAAGCCUGACGGAGCAACGCCGCGUGAGUGAUGAAGGUCUUCGGAUCGUAAAACUCUGUUAUUAGGGAAGAACAUAUGUGUAAGUAACUGUGCACAGCUUGACGGUACCUAAUCAGAAAGCCACGGCUAACUACGCG
RNAcentral lists this ribosomal RNA (497 nucleotides) under uncultured bacterium. RNAcentral's name for it is "partial 16S ribosomal RNA". It matches the Rfam family "Bacterial small subunit ribosomal RNA", at positions 28 to 507 of the family's 1533-position model. The record is from RNAcentral.